Molecule: non-coding RNA, 27 nt
Filed under: Homo sapiens (human)
Lineage: Eukaryota; Metazoa; Chordata; Mammalia; Primates; Hominidae
Source: RNAcentral
UCUAGCCCUAGUUGAGGCCGGCGCUGU